RNAcentral lists this ribosomal RNA (253 nucleotides) under uncultured bacterium. RNAcentral describes it as "partial 16S ribosomal RNA". It matches the Rfam family "Bacterial small subunit ribosomal RNA", at positions 524 to 776 of the family's 1533-position model. The record is from RNAcentral.
UACGGAGGGGGCUAGCGUUGUUCGGAAUUACUGGGCGUAAAGCGUGCGCAGGCGGUUUUGUAAGCCCGAUGUGAAAUCCCCGGGCUUAACCUGGGAAUGGCAUUUGGGACUGCAAGGCUCGAGUGCGGCAGAGGAGACUGGAAUUCCUGGUGUAGCAGUGAAAUGCGUAGAUAUCAGGAGGAACACCGAUGGCGAAGGCAGGUCUCUGGGCUGACACUGACGCUCAUGCACGAAAGCGUGGGGAGCAAACAGG